AUUCCAGCUCCAAUAGCGUAUAUUAAAGUUGUUGCGGUUAAAAAGCUCGUAGUUGGAUUUCUGCCGAGGAUGACCGGUCCGCCCUGUGGGUGUGCAUCUGGCUCAGCCUUGGCAUCUUCCUGAAGAACGUAGCUGCACUUGACUGUGUGGUGCGGUAUUUAGGACAUUUACUUUGAGGAAAUUAGAGUGUUUCAAGCAAGCGCACGCUUUGAAUACAUUAGCAUGGAAUAAUAAGAUAGGACCUCGGUUCUAUUUUGUUGGUUUCUAGAGCUGAGGUAAUGAUUAAUAGGGGCGGUUGGGGGCCUUAGUACGACUUCGUUAGAGGUGAAAUUCCAAGAUCGAAGUCAGACUAACUGAAGCGAAAGCGUUGGCCAAGGACGCUCUCAUCA
This 389-nucleotide ribosomal RNA is filed under the name Dinophyceae sp. Its description in RNAcentral is "partial small subunit ribosomal RNA". It matches the Rfam family "Eukaryotic small subunit ribosomal RNA", at positions 582 to 975 of the family's 1831-position model. The record is from RNAcentral. Lineage: Eukaryota; Dinophyceae.